This is a small nucleolar RNA of Danio rerio (zebrafish), 133 nucleotides long. Lineage: Eukaryota; Metazoa; Chordata; Actinopteri; Cypriniformes; Danionidae. The record is from Ensembl.
AGGAGGAUUGAGAAAGUUAGGCAGCUGUUUUAGUACUGCAUUAACUGGUUAUAACCUCCUAGAAAAAAACACAAGUGCUCAAAGUGCUCUUUCAUUCUGUGUGUAAAAGUAGUCGAGUUCUUGUGGACAUGUU